This 119-nucleotide ribosomal RNA is filed under the name Pteropus alecto (black flying fox). The record is from RNAcentral. Lineage: Eukaryota; Metazoa; Chordata; Mammalia; Chiroptera; Pteropodidae.
GUCUACGGCCACGCCACCCUGAACAAGUCCGAUCCCGUCUGAUCUCGGAAGCUAAGCAGGGUCGGGCCUGGAUAGUACUUGGAUGGGAGACCGCCUAGGAAGACCAGGUGCUGUAGGUG